GGGGGUAUAGCUCAGCUGGGAGAGCGCCUGCUUUGCACGCAGGAGGCCAGCGGUUCGAACCCGCUUAUCUCCACCA
RNAcentral lists this transfer RNA (76 nucleotides) under Clostridia bacterium. RNAcentral's name for it is "tRNA-Ala". It matches the Rfam family "tRNA". From Rfam's summary of the family: Transfer RNA (tRNA) molecules are approximately 80 nucleotides in length. Their secondary structure includes four short double-helical elements and three loops (D, anti-codon, and T loops). Lineage: Bacteria; Bacillati; Bacillota; Clostridia. The record is from RNAcentral.